RNAcentral lists this long non-coding RNA (1054 nucleotides) under Macaca mulatta (Rhesus monkey). Its description in RNAcentral is "lncRNA (ENSMMUG00000061814.1)". The record is from RNAcentral. Lineage: Eukaryota; Metazoa; Chordata; Mammalia; Primates; Cercopithecidae.
AUGACAUCACUGGAGAAUCCUAUUAGACUUUUAGAGAACUACCACCAGCUUUGUAGACGCCUCUGCCAUCAGGUACCCUGUACUAUCAGCGGUGGUCAACCCCACCGUGUUCUUCGACAUCGCUGUGGAUGGCGGGCCCUUGGGACGCGUCUCCUUCGAGCUGUUUGUAGACAAGUUUCCAAAGACAGCAGGAAACUUUCAUGCUCUGAGCACUGGAGAGAAAGGAUUAUGGUUAUAAGGGUUCCUGCUUUCACAGAAUUAUUCCAGGAAUGGCAAGACCAGCAAGAAGAUCAGCAUUGCUGACUGUGGACAACUCGAAUACGUUUGACUUGUGUUUUAUCUUAAUCACCAGACCAUUCCUUCUGUAGCUCAAGAGAGCACCCCUCCACCCCAUUUGCUCUCAAUAUCCUAGAAUGUUUGUGCUCUUACUGCAGUUCCCUCUGGGUUCCAUGUUUUCCUUGUUCUCUUCCAUGCCUAGCUGGAUUGCAGAGUUAAGUUUAUGGUUAUGAAAUAAAAACUAAAUAACAACAAAAAAAGAACUACCAAUUCUUAAACUCUUCCAAAAUAUUGAAAAGGAGGAAACAUUUUCAAACUCAUUCUAUAAGAGCAGCACCACCCUAAUGCCAAAAUCAGAAAAAGAUACAAGAAAGAAAACUACUACAGGCCAAUACCCCUGAUGAAUAUUGACAUAAAAAUCUUCAACAAAACAUUAGUAAAUGAAAUUCAACAAUGUAUUAAAAGUAUUACAUAUUAUGAUUUAGUGGGAUUUAGUUUGAACAUGAAAAUUCAUCAAUGUAAUACAUUAGCAGAUUAAUACAGAAAAACUUGAAAAAAUUUAAUAUUCUUUCAUGGUAAAAACAAACUAAGAAUAGAAAGAUUUUACUUCAACUUAAUUGUGGCCAUAGGUAAAGGGCCCACCACUAACAUCAUACUCAAAAUGGCAAAAAGCUAAAACCAUUUUCUUAAAAUCAGAAACAAAGUAAGGAUCCUUGUUCUCACCACUUCUACUCAACAUAAUACUCAAAAUCCUGUCCAGAACAAUAAGGAAGAAAAA